This 22-nucleotide ribosomal RNA is filed under the name Phaeophyscia sciastra. RNAcentral describes it as "partial 18S ribosomal RNA". The record is from RNAcentral. Lineage: Eukaryota; Fungi; Ascomycota; Lecanoromycetes; Caliciales; Physciaceae.
UUCCGUAGGUACCUGCGGAAGG